This 483-nucleotide ribosomal RNA is filed under the name uncultured bacterium. Its description in RNAcentral is "partial 16S ribosomal RNA". It matches the Rfam family "Bacterial small subunit ribosomal RNA", at positions 29 to 523 of the family's 1533-position model. The record is from RNAcentral.
AGUGAACGCUGGCGGCGUGCUUAACACAUGCAAGUCGAACGAGAACGGAUUAUAGCUUGCUAUAAUUGUCAGCUAAGUGGCGCACGGGUGAGUAAUGUAUAGGUAAUAUGCCUCUUACUAAGGGAUAACAAAUGGAAACGUUUGCUAAUACCUUAUACUCCUUAUUAACAGAAGUUAAUAAGGGAAAGAUUUAUUGGUAAGAGAUUAGCCUGUAUUGUAUCAGUUAGUUGGUGGGGUAAUGGCUUACCAAGACUAUGACACAUAACUGGUUUGAGAGGAUGAUCAGUCACACUGGAACUGAGACACGGUCCAGACUCCUAAGGGAGGCAGCAGUGGGGAAUAUUGCACAUGGACGAAAGUCUGAUGCAGCAACGCCGCGUGGAGGAUGACACAUUUCGGUGCGUAAACUCCUUUUAUAUGAGAAGAUAAUGACGGUAUUAUAUGAAUAAGCACCGGCUAACUCCGUGCCAGCCGCCGCAGUAA